Molecule: long non-coding RNA, 471 nt
Filed under: Capsella rubella
Lineage: Eukaryota; Viridiplantae; Streptophyta; Magnoliopsida; Brassicales; Brassicaceae
Description: long non-coding RNA (CRUB_LNC002481)
Source: RNAcentral
UUUUUUUUUGCAAGUCACUUUUCAAUCAUUUCCGAUUUGUAUGAUUUAUUCAUGAUGACCACGACCGCCGCUUCAAUCAUUGGUCCUCCCAUUUCAAUUUUUUUUUUCUCCUCUAUUCCUUUUCAUUCAAAUAUAUAUAUUUUUAAAACACAGUUUUGAAAAUAGACAAAUACUCCUACAAAAAAAAAAAAGUCAAGAGAAACGUUAAAAACGCAGAUUGAAAAAAAACACAUAGAAAAACGCGAAACGCAGAACGUGGAAAUGCGAGUUUUGAAAAAGGGAAAGAAGAAGAAGCAAAAAAAAAAAAAAUUAAAAAAAAAUGGUAUGGUCGAUACAGCUGGCUUAUGACCCCUCCUCCUCCUCCUCCUCCUCCUCCUCCUCCUCGGCUCCUCCUACCUUUUUUUUUCACUCUGUCGAUGUUUUUAGUAUUGUGGUCCUGUCCUACUACUCACUCCUACAUUUUUAUUUUAU